GGAUCGAAACACGGUGAAAUAUUCUAUUAAUUUAUUGAAACUUGGGAGGCAUAACGACAUAACAUUAUCGAAUCCGCGGAUUAAAAUCCGAUUUAAAGCGACGAGGUAAAAUGGUAUUAAACUCAAAAUUAUAUUUACAUAUCAAAAGUUUAUUUAUAUUUACAUAUCAAAAGUUUUAUUUAUAUUUACAUAUCAAAGCUCAUUUAUAAUCACCAGCAGUAUUCUAACCCACCAAGAUGCACACUUGAC
Molecule: long non-coding RNA, 249 nt
Filed under: Lathyrus oleraceus (garden pea)
Lineage: Eukaryota; Viridiplantae; Streptophyta; Magnoliopsida; Fabales; Fabaceae
Description: Pisum sativum (pea) long non-coding RNA (PSAT_LNC003471)
Source: RNAcentral